Molecule: long non-coding RNA, 610 nt
Organism: Ochotona curzoniae (black-lipped pika)
Lineage: Eukaryota; Metazoa; Chordata; Mammalia; Lagomorpha; Ochotonidae
Exons: 4
Source: RefSeq, a predicted model, not a curated record
GGGAUGUGAAAGCCAAGGGGUGGAGCCGCUUGCCCCGUUUCCGGUGACAGGGUCUGGGGAAGGGGCGGCAGGCGCCAUGUCCGGCCGGGAAGGUGGCAAAAAGAAGCCCCUGAAACAACCCAAGAAGCAGGCCAAGGAGAUGGAUGAGGAGGAUAAGGCUUUCAAGCAGAAACAGAAAGAGGAACAGAAGAAACUGGAGGAGCUGAAAGCGAAGGCCGCGGGGAAGGGCCCCCUGGCCACAGGUGGAAUUAAGAAAUCUGGCAAAAAGUAAGCUGCUCCUUGGCACUUGAUGUGAUGCUGUCCUCGACCCCACACGUGUCUGAACAUCUGGCGUCUCGGCCGGAGCAUCUUUAGCCGCCCAUAGUUAGAAUGUAGUGUCACCUUGGAGCCCAUUGUACAUUUACAAAUAAACUUUUGUAAAAAAAAAAAAAAAAAAAAAGAGGGAAAAAAAAAACCACCACUGUAUGGUAGCUGUCUCCUAAGUUGUUUCAUCCAGCCAUCCUUAGCUACGCGUGUAAAGUAGGCCCAGCUGAGAAUCCUGCCAGAGGCUGCUCUGUGGUCUCUAUUCUCGAAAUUCUGUAUCACCUGGAAUUAAACUCAUUGGAAAGGC